Molecule: transfer RNA, 71 nt
Filed under: Penaeus chinensis
Lineage: Eukaryota; Metazoa; Arthropoda; Malacostraca; Decapoda; Penaeidae
Description: tRNA-Gln
Rfam family: tRNA
About the family: Transfer RNA (tRNA) molecules are approximately 80 nucleotides in length.
Source: RNAcentral
GCCCCAUGGUGUAAUGGUUAGCACCCUGGACUUUGAAUCCAGAGAUCCGAGUUCGAGUCUCGGUGGGACCU